GCCAGAGUGGCACAGUGGUUUGGAUGUUCGGCUAUGACUCUGGAGACCAGGGUUCGAAUCCCAGCUUGACC
Molecule: non-coding RNA, 71 nt
Organism: Phrynosoma platyrhinos (Desert horned lizard)
Lineage: Eukaryota; Metazoa; Chordata; Lepidosauria; Squamata; Phrynosomatidae
Source: the annotation of a GenBank genome assembly